RNAcentral lists this ribosomal RNA (414 nucleotides) under uncultured bacterium. RNAcentral describes it as "bacterial SSU rRNA". It matches the Rfam family "Bacterial small subunit ribosomal RNA", at positions 355 to 786 of the family's 1533-position model. The record is from RNAcentral.
UGGGGAAUAUUGCACAAUGGGGGAAACCCUGAUGCAGCGACGCCGCGUGAAGGAAGAAGUAUCUCGGUAUGUAAACUUCUAUCAGCAGGGAAGAAAAUGACGGUACCUGACUAAGAAGCCCCGGCUAACUACGUGCCAGCAGCCGCGGUAAUACGUAGGUGGCAAGCGUUGUCCGGAAUUACUGGGCGUAAAGGGUGCGUAGGUGGUUUGCCAAGUUGGCAGCGUAAUUCCGUGGCUUAACCGCGGAACUACUGCCAAAACUGGUAGGCUUGAGUGCGGCAGGGGUAUGUGGAAUUCCUAGUGUAGCGGUGGAAUGCGUAGAUAUUAGGAGGAACACCGGUGGCGAAAGCGACAUACUGGGCCGUAACUGACACUGAGGCACGAAAGCGUGGGGAGCAAACAGGAUUAGAUACC